GACGAACGCUGGCGGCGUGCCUAAUACAUGCAAGUCGAGCGAGCGGAACUAACAGAUUUACUUCGGUAAUGACGUUAGGAAAGCGAGCGGCGGAUGGGUGAGUAACACGUGGGGAACCUGCCCCAUAGUCUGGGAUACCACUUGGAAACAGGUGCUAAUACCGGAUAAGAAAGCAGAUCGCAUGAUCAGCUUUUAAAAGGCGGCGUAAGCUGUCGCUAUGGGAUGGCCCCGCGGUGCAUUAGCUAGUUGGUAAGGUAAAGGCUUACCAAGGCGAUGAUGCAUAGCCGAGUUGAGAGACUGAUCGGCCACAUUGGGACUGAGACACGGCCCAAACUCCUACGGGAGGCAGCAGUAGGGAAUCUUCCACAAUGGACGCAAGUCUGAUGGAGCAACGCCGCGUGAGUGAAGAAGGUUUUCGGAUCGUAAAGCUCUGUUGUUGGUGAAGAAGGAUAGAGGUAGUAACUGGCCUUUAUUUGACGGUAAUCAACCAGAAAGUCACGGCUAACUACGUGCCAGCAGCCGCGGUAAUACGUAGGUGGCAAGCGUUGUCCGGAUUUAUUGGGCGUAAAGCGAGCGCAGGCGGAAGAAUAAGUCUGAUGUGAAAGCCCUCGGCUUAACCGAGGAACUGCAUCGGAAACUGUUUUUCUUGAGUGCAGAAGAGGAGAGUGGAACUCCAUGUGUAGCGGUGGAUGCGUAGAUAUAUGGAAGAACACCAGUGGCGAAGGC
Molecule: ribosomal RNA, 726 nt
Filed under: uncultured Bacilli bacterium
Lineage: Bacteria; Bacillati; Bacillota; Bacilli
Description: bacterial SSU rRNA
Rfam family: Bacterial small subunit ribosomal RNA
Source: RNAcentral